GCCCCUGUAGCUCAAUGGAUAGAGCAACUGCCUUCUAAGCAGUAGGUCACAGGUUCGAGUCCUGUCGGGGGCGCCA
This 76-nucleotide transfer RNA is filed under the name Synergistaceae bacterium. RNAcentral describes it as "tRNA-Arg". It matches the Rfam family "tRNA". From Rfam's summary of the family: Transfer RNA (tRNA) molecules are approximately 80 nucleotides in length. Lineage: Bacteria; Thermotogati; Synergistota; Synergistia; Synergistales; Synergistaceae. The record is from RNAcentral.